AAGCGAAACCGCCGGGAGGCGGUCUGCCAGGCGUGGCGGCCUGGCACUGACGAGCAGCCACAG
This 63-nucleotide non-coding RNA is filed under the name Cupriavidus metallidurans. The record is from RNAcentral. Lineage: Bacteria; Pseudomonadati; Pseudomonadota; Betaproteobacteria; Burkholderiales; Burkholderiaceae.